Molecule: ribosomal RNA, 403 nt
Filed under: bacterium
Lineage: Bacteria
Also listed under: 1 other name
Description: partial 16S ribosomal RNA
Rfam family: Bacterial small subunit ribosomal RNA
Source: RNAcentral
UGGGGAAUAUUGCACAAUGGAGGGAACUCUGAUGCAGCGACGCCGCGUGAACGAAGAAGGCUUUCGAGUCGUAAAGUUCUUUUAUAUGGGAAGAUAAUGACGGUACCAUAAGAAAAAGCCCCGGCUAACUACGUGCCAGCAGCCGCGGUAAUACGUAGGGGGCUAGCGUUGUCCGGAAUCACUGGGCGUAAAGGGUUCGCAGGCGGAAAUGCAAGUCAGGUGUAAAAGGCAGUAGCUUAACUACUGUAAGCAUUUGAAACUGCAUAUCUUGAGAAGAGUAGAGUUAAGUGGAAUUUUUAGUGUAGCGGUGAAAUGCGUAGAUAUUAAAAAGAAUACCGGUGGCGAAGGCGACUUACUGGGCUCAUUCUGACGCUGAGGAACGAAAGCGUGGGUAGCAAACAGG